This 253-nucleotide ribosomal RNA is filed under the name uncultured bacterium. RNAcentral describes it as "partial 16S ribosomal RNA". It matches the Rfam family "Bacterial small subunit ribosomal RNA", at positions 524 to 776 of the family's 1533-position model. The record is from RNAcentral.
UACGUAGGGCGCAAGCGUUGUCCGGAAUCAUUGGGCGUAAAGAGCUCGUAGGCGGCCUGUUGCGUCCGCUGUGAAAUCCCGGGGCUCAACCCCGGGCCUGCAGUGGAUACGGGCUGGCUGGAGGCAGGCAGGGGAGAACGGAAUUCCUGGUGUAGCGGUGAAAUGCGCAGAUAUCAGGAGGAACACCAAUGGCGAAGGCAGCUCGCUGGGACGUGACUGACGCUGAGACGCGAAAGCGUGGGGAGCAAACAGG